RNAcentral lists this ribosomal RNA (301 nucleotides) under uncultured bacterium. RNAcentral's name for it is "partial 16S ribosomal RNA". It matches the Rfam family "Bacterial small subunit ribosomal RNA", at positions 509 to 807 of the family's 1533-position model. The record is from RNAcentral.
CAGCCGCCGCGGGAAUACGUAGGUGGCAAGCGUUGUCCGGAAUUAUUGGGCGCAAAGGGCUCGCAGGCGGUUUCUUAAGUCUGAUGUGAAAGCCCCCGGCUCAACCGGGGAGGGUCAUUGGAAACUGGGAAACUUGAGUGCAGAAGAGGAGAGUGGAAUUCCACGUGUAGCGGUGAAAUGCGUAGAGAUGUGGAGGAACACCAGUGGCGAAGGCGACUCUCUGGUCUGUAACUGACGCUGAGGAGCGAAAGCGUGGGGAGCGAACAGGAUUAGAUACCCCAGUAGUCCCUGUCUCUUAUAC